AUGUUCACUGUUAUAUUCAUGUAUCUGUGGCUUUCACUAGGUGACUCCAUGGCAGAUUCAAUAGAGCCACUUUUCACUCAGAAAGUUGUAGAUGAAGGUGAUAAUGUUACUCUUCCCUGCAGAUAUAAAACCAGCCGUAUUUCAGGAAAUUUGCAGUGGUACAGACAAUAUCCAAAAUCCAAACCUGAUUUCCUUUUUCAUAUUCUUCAAAGUGGAACCCUACUUUCUGACCCUCCACCAAGAAUGUCAGCUAAAAUUGAUGAUAAACAAGUGGAUCUGAUCAUCUCCUCUGCUGCUGUAUCAGACUCUGCUCUAUACUACUGUGCUCUGGUGCCCACAGUGACAGGAAAUCCAGCUGCACUGUACAAAAACUAA
This is a non-coding RNA of Tachysurus vachellii, 375 nucleotides long. NCBI's taxonomy places the organism in Eukaryota, Metazoa, Chordata, Actinopteri, Siluriformes, Bagridae. The record is from the annotation of a RefSeq genome assembly.